AAAUGAAUUGACGGGCACCCGCACAAGCGGUGGAGCAUGCUGUUUAAUUCGAAGAUACGCGAAGAACCUUACCUAGAUUUGACAUCCCUGGCAAAGCUAUAGAAAUAUAGUGGAGGCUAUCCGGGUGACAGGUGGUGCAUGGUUGUCGUCAGCUCGUGUCGUGAGAUGUUUGGUUAAGUCCAAUAACGAGCGCAACCCUCGUCUUUAGUUGCUAACAUUUAGUUGAGUUCUCUAAAGAUACUGCCAGUGCAAGCUGGAGGAAGGUGGGGAUGACGUCAAAUCAUCAUGCCCCUUACAUCUAGGGCUACAGGCGUGCUACAAUGGCCGAUACAACGAGUCGCAACACGGUGACGUGAAGCUAAUCUCUUAAAGUCGGUCUCAGUCCGGAUUGGAGUCUGCAACUCGACUCCAUGAAGUUGGAAUCGCUAGUAAUCCCAAAUCAGAAUGUUGGGGUGAAUACGUUCCCGGGUGUUGCACACACCGCCCGU
Molecule: ribosomal RNA, 488 nt
Filed under: uncultured bacterium
Lineage: Bacteria
Description: bacterial SSU rRNA
Rfam family: Bacterial small subunit ribosomal RNA
Source: RNAcentral